Sparus aurata (gilthead seabream) is the source of this 3418-nucleotide long non-coding RNA. NCBI's taxonomy places the organism in Eukaryota, Metazoa, Chordata, Actinopteri, Spariformes, Sparidae. The record is from Ensembl.
GCGUGCACAUCCUGAACUACUUUGUAUUGAUGCACUGAACAUCUCACAUGUGCAGGAUGGUCUUCGGAUUUAUGUACGAGGUCAGGAAGUGGUAAACUUAUCUCAAGUGAAAUGUGCCUCUGCAGUAGCUGCAGUUUGAGAUGAUAUCUGAGAUCUCAAGUGAUGAACAUGCCAAGCCUAAUGGACAGACUGCUGAUGUGUUACUGUUUCACAUGUGUCAGUGUCUAUGGACUAGGACCUGGUAAGACAUAAUAAUCUUUUAUCUAAUGACGUUAAUGAGAUUGAACAUUUUGAAAAGGUUUAAGUCAUUCAUUUAAGCAGGAACAGCAACCCUUUAGAUUACGGCUUGAUAGCUACAGUGUAAUAUUUUAGUAUAUAAGGGUUAUAAAUGGAUAAGUACUGGGUAUUUCUCAUGUACGUUAGGUUAGAGGUUUGAUAAAACAAAUAAAUUACAAGGCAGGGAAAAUGGUUAAAACAGGUUCAUACUAUGUCUCUUUUAUCUUGUGAUAUGACUUUCAAGAGAGCAUGAGGGAACAGUUUUACUAAGUUGGAGUCAUUAACUUUCAGCCCAUCAGUAACAGUGUAACUGUUUGGCAUUGAUGAGGUCUUUUAUAUAGUGGUGACUAUCGCAUUGUUUGUAGAUGGGAUGUGCAUUGUGUGUGUAGAUCGGCAGAUUAUGAAUGAACCCUGAGCCUUCACUGCAGAUCGUGCUCUUUGGCUGUACAUCCUUAAUAACAAAUAGCACACAAACCACCCAGAUUGUUGCUUUAUCAACUGGACACUUGUGUGCGUUUUUUUUCUCAUUGUUUUACAAACUUUUUCUUUCCUCACAUCCACCUCCAUCUCAAACAGGAACUCAUCAUUCCACCUCUCCGAGCUUUAACGAUUCUUCUAUCGGUGGUGAUGUUGUCAUACAUUCAGCCUUCAACGAGGGGAGUGACGUAAACUUGACAUGCAGCAAUAAGACGUGGAAUGAGACACUAUAUGUUAUCUGGACAAUACAGUUGAAAUACAGAAAUGAAUGCAAGAUAUCCUUAGAUGAUGGAGGGCGAAGAGUAGACACAUGCAAAGAUGGCAAGUCACUCUAUACAUCCAGCACUCAGUCAUACUUGCACAUCCCAAACUUGACCAAUGGCGACGAAGGGGUCUACAAAUGUGAGUCGGUUUAUGAAGGAGGAAUCGAUCGUUAUGAGAUCAACGUGGCCAUCACAGUUCCUCCCAGAAUAUCAGCCUGGUUAGAGAAAGAGGACAACAAGAUGGUGGCAAUGUGCAAAGCUGAAAGAGGAAAACCUGCUGCCAACAUCUUCUGGAGCCAUGAGGGAAACUUAUCGGAUGUGAAAACAUCGUCUGACAAAGAUGGAUUUUUUACAGUAGAGAGUCGUCUGGAGAUCUCAGAAGGAACGAACACAGAAAACCUGAACUGUGCUGUCAGCCACCCGUACUGGAGAGAGGAUAAGAUUUUAGAACCAAAACUCACAAAAGGUCAGAUCUUUCAGAGAGCAUUGGACAAGAGAAAGGCUCUAAAUCUGGGUUUAAAACAGCUACUUGGUGUUUUGUAUUAUAUUUCAUAUGAUAACUUUGUAAAUAUAUGGGAGCUCCAGUAUAUUAUUAACAAGUCAUUAAUCAUCACUCUCUCACUACAGGUUAUUUUUGGCCACGUAUCCUUACUGUUGUGUCAAUCCUGGUGAUUUUGGCAGGAUUUUUACUUUUGUACAAGCGAAAAUAAUGUUGAGGUAAGAAUUUUCAUUUGCUGAGAAAUUCAUUACUAAAAUUACACUUGCAAGUUUCUUGUCUGAGCUGGUUUGUGUUUCCACGUUCUGCCAGGCGAUGUCAGCAGGCGAUGUCAGCAGUUUGACACCUCACCAACCACUUCCCCUGUCACCUCUGGUGUGCCUCAGGGCUCUGUCCUGGGGCCCCUCCUCUUUAUCAUUUAUCUCCUUCCCCUUGGCAAUAUCUUCCGCAAACAUAACAUCACUUUUCACUGUUACGCAGAUGACACCCAGCUCUACCUCGCCAGCAAACCCACUUCCAACCUCCCUCCCUCCUCCCUUACCGACUGCUUAACUGAAAUAAAAUCCUGGUUCACUUCAAAUCUACUAAAACUCAACUCUGACAAAACUGAGAUCCUUCUCAUUGGCACACAGUCAACACUUUCCAAAACCGACAGUUUCCCCCUCAUCAUUGAUAACUGCUCCGUUUCCCCCUCCCCACAGGUUAAGAGUCUGGGUGUCAUCCUCGACAGUACACUCUCCUUCCAAUCUCACAUCAAUAACAUCACCCGGUCUGCUUACUUCCACCUACGCAACAUCAACCGCCUCCGCCCCUCCCUUACUCCCCAUACCACUGCUAUCCUCGUCCAUAGUCUCAUCACUUCCCGUCUGGAUUACUGCAACUCCCUCCUCUCCGGUCUCACCCACAAAUCCCUGCACAAACUUCAACUGGUCCAGAAUUCAGCUGCCCAUGUCAUCACCAGAACCCCCUCCAUCCACCACAUCACUCCCGUCCUACAGCAGCUCCACUGGCUCCCGGUCAAGUCCCGCAUUGACUUCAAAAUCCUUCUGCUAACAUUCAAGGCCAUUCACAAUCUUGCCCCCCCAUAUCUUUCCAAUCUUCUCCAUAUCGCCACUCCCUCUCGCACCCUCCGUUCAUCCUCCUCCAUUCUGCUGACUGUCCCCCCUGCCCGUCUCACCACCAUGGGGAGCAGAGCUUUCAGCCGCUCUGCUCCCCGGCUCUGGAACUCUCUGCCACCCGAAAUAAGGAACAUCACUACACUAUCUGAUUUCAAGUCCAAACUCAAAACACACCUGUUUAAGAUCACCUUUUUUAGUUAAAUGAAUUUUCUGUCAAUUUUUACUGUUUUCUUUUCUUGUGUACUUUGUGGCUUAAAUUGUCUUUGUUUACUGUAAGGUGUCCUUGAGUGACAGAAAGGCGCCUAUGAAAUAAAAUGUAUUAUUAUUAUUAUUAUUAUCUGCACUGGUGAGUAAUCUUUCUGUAACUCUGCAGUUCAAAGCUCUGUCUGUUUUGCUGCCACUGCUAAGGUUUGUUGACAUCACCUCUAUGUCUCUCUCCCCCAAGGAAUCGCUCUGCCAUCUACCGGUGGACAGCAGAACAUCGUCCACCAUCGUGAUCAUGCACUGCUUUUAAAAUUGUAGGCUGCUGCUACUAUAAUUAGCUUGACCCUCACGCUGAAUAUUUAGUUGAACUGAAAAAAGGAAACUACACAAAUGUAUUUCUGUCCAGAGAACAUGGCACAUUUGAACUCUUUUAAUUUUGCACAGUGGUGGAGGAAGUAUUCAGAUUCUUUACUUCUGGGAAAAUGCUGUAACCAGACUGUAAAAAUACUCUGUUACAUGUCUGCUUUGAAAACGUUACUCAAGUAAAUGUCUGUGAAUGUUAUCAGUAUUUAAAGUAAAAGUGC